AAACCAUGUUUCAGGAAGUGAGGUGAAAUUCCUCCACUGUGCCGCAACUGUAAAGUCAGAAAACUAAUGGUUC
RNAcentral lists this non-coding RNA (73 nucleotides) under Candidatus Amesiibacteriota. The record is from RNAcentral.